Molecule: small RNA, 79 nt
Filed under: Chryseobacterium gambrini
Lineage: Bacteria; Pseudomonadati; Bacteroidota; Flavobacteriia; Flavobacteriales; Weeksellaceae
Description: Flavo-1 RNA
Rfam family: Flavo-1 RNA
Source: RNAcentral
GUCUCGCAGCCCGACCUGAGUGGAGCUCUUUUUCUUUUUCUAGAAAAGAAAAAAGCGGGAACGGAGGGCGGAAAUAGCU